RNAcentral lists this long non-coding RNA (3249 nucleotides) under Olea europaea (common olive). RNAcentral describes it as "long non-coding RNA (OEUR_LNC012302)". Lineage: Eukaryota; Viridiplantae; Streptophyta; Magnoliopsida; Lamiales; Oleaceae. The record is from RNAcentral.
AGCACCUUAAUCUAUUGAAAUACUUUCUAAUUGCACACAAAUCGCAUCUCGCAAUGGAAAAAAACUAAAGAUGUAAAUAUAUAAACAAUGCCUUUUUUGUACACUCAAGUAUUACUAUUGCAAAUAUCCAAAACUAAUAAUCAUUGACUUAACAAAAACUCAAAAAUUUGUUGGACUUGAAUAGAAUGCCUAACAUAUUUUAAAGCUAUUAAUAAAUAUUUAGAAAAAUUAAAUUUUAGAAUUAUUAUUCAAAAAUUGAACUGUAUAGAAUUCAAGAGAAUAAAUCCUUAUAGAAAACUUCAGAAAUCUCAAAUGUUUUUAUCGAAGACAUCAAAGUAUCACUGAAAAGGUUCAAACAGUGUACCCUUCUAUAUCAAAACAAAAAAUCUCAAGCCCAUACUAAAAAUUGAACAGUCCAAGAUUCAAUUUAAAUAGUGCUACAAUACAAUGUUUUAGAGAGAGAAUCAAACAAUAUAGGUCAAAAUAUGCAUGCAACAAUCGUGAAGUGCCAAUAUAUGCACAAGAUUGAAAAAAACAAUAAUAAUAAUAAUUAUAUGAAAUAGCUAUAAAAAAAUCAAGUUAAUGUUUAGAAACCACAAACCAAAGUGGUGUUUUUGAGUUUGAGCACCAUAAGCAUCACCACUGCCAAACUAAUAGAAUUUUCAAGCAUUAUAAUCGAUGUACCAACCUUGUGAUAGAAAGAGAGAGAGAGAGAGAUGAUUGUGUUGGGAAUUUACUUAGUUAUGCACAGCAAAAAAUAUAAUAAUUUUCAUUUCUCACCAUGGAUCUAUUUUGUGUUUAAAUAGAAAUUGUGAUAGAAGGUUAUACUUUGAUGAAUUCUACAAACUCUUUUGCUUUUUUUGAACUUGAAUAAUUACGAUCUGUAAUCCACAGCAGUUUAAUUGUCCAAUCUCCAAUAAAAAUUUACAUAGAGAAGAAGAUUGAGAGAACUAGAAUUUUCUUUAAUCCGGUUCGAUAUUUAAUUAAUUCAAUUAAUUAAAUUGUCCAUUAAUUAAUUAAUUCGAGCCUAUCAACAAGCAACUCAAUUAAUUAAUCAUUCAACGCUUGUUAAUUAAUUAAUUGGUAAAUCUCAUUCUUCUAAUUCUCCUUUUAUGUGUAACCCAUCAGGCUCUCAAUUACGAUAUUUAACGAUAUGAAUCAUUAUUUUGAUCGAAUCAAAAUCGAUAAAUUAAAAAUAUCCCCUUUCUAAUUUAUCAUCAAAAUACAUUUGUUGUCCCAAACUGACAUAUAGUAAUGUACUAGGGCAAUAUAUGUGACGAAAAAUGUCACGUGGUAUGACAACAUCAAAUUUGUUCGUUUACUAUGAAACUAUAAUCAUUUUGUCAAUAUAAUCCGAUCAAUUACAAGAUAUGGACAUGUAUCAAUUUUAAUUAUUGAUCAUAUUUUUCAUUCCACUAUAAAGUGUAUAUAAGUCGAAAACUCAUUUUCGACUUAUGAAUAUACAUUGACCAAGGAUUUCAUUAUCAACUCAACUAAAUGAAAUAUAGAUUAUAAUCUCUUACUAUUUAAAAGUGACGAAUUCUCUAUUGAUCAUUCACAAUAUUCAUAUGAUUCUUGAGAUACCCAAACGAUAUCGUAUCAGUGGGCCUUGGCAAAGAAACAUCCAACAUCACCAAAAUAUAACUGUACUCAUAUAAGGCACUAUGAUUACCUCAAGUUGAAGAACAAAUUCUACUACCAAGCAUUAAAGAUUAACCACUGACACAUAGAUAGUUAUCCAUGUGGAAUCUCUCCAGUGGGUCUCCAAUGUUUUGUUCUUUAAUAGAACAUUCACAUGUUCAUUUAAAUGUCACUACGCUUUAACUCAUGAGAUCAACUAAUUACUUCACAAGUAAGAAGUGUUACACUUAAUGAUCUAUUCGUAAUAAAAAUAUUCUUAUUUCGUUAUUACUUACGAUCAUUGAUUAUUUAAGAUUCAGUCAUAUGUAAUUUGUAUCUCACAAUCACAACUCAUUCUGAUUAACAAAUUACAAAAAUUUAAAUCUACGGACUCUAUUAUUUAAUUUAAUUUAUUAUUAAUAGUAUUUAUAUCCAAAAUUGAUUGAACUUAGGGCAUAACACUUACAGAUCGCAACUCACAAUUGGCGAUUGUUCUAUUGGCUCUCUAUUAGAGGAACCCAAAAUGCAAAUUCAAGCACAAUUUAUUGAUAGAUUGAUUGGAAAAUGAAAUGUCCUCAAAGGAAUCAGUCAACAACGAAUAGAAUUUGCAAAGAUCAAUAAUCAUACAGAUAUACCAAGAACUUUCAGAUCUAGGGUUUUUAUAAUUCUUGAUGCAAAAGGAAAAACUAAAUUUCCUCAACCCUUAUACCUUGCAUGAUUUCAAUAGGUAUUCUUGCAUUUUAGCCAUGCUUUUAUGUUCGCAUAUUUCUUGGUAAAUGCUUCUUUGAUUUGUGAGUUCAAGAAGUUACACACUCAAUUGUCAACUACCAUUUCAGGAGCAAUAUUAGUUCAUUUUCAGGUGAAGCCUUCUUUAGUUAAUAAGUUUAGAGAAGCUCAAUCUCAAGACCCAAUAUUGAGAACGUUGAAAGUAGAAGUUAAUUAGUGCUGGAUUGAGAACAAAUUUCCUCAACCCUUAUACCUUGCAUGAUUUCAAUAGGUAUUCUAGAAUUUUAGCGCGUGCUUUUAUGUUCGCAUAUUUCAUAGAGACAAAUAAAAAAUAUUAAUUCAUGUUUGAGAACCAUUCUAUACUUUUUUCUCGAACUCAUUUCGAACUAUACAUUCUCUCAAUAAAAUAAUUUAUACAUAAACUCAACACUUUUUUCUACUUUUUAAUCACGUAUUCUUGAAAAAAAAAAUCAAUAUUACAAACUCAUUUCCCCCCAAAAUAGGGUUCAAGCAAAGCCUAGAAGAAUUAUGGACAUUGGUGAAUGAGAAUGAAUAAAUAUUAUCUUGCUAUGAAUUAUACUAAAAUGGAAUAAUAAAGGGGAUUCAAAGUCUUAGUGCAUAUUUUUGUCAAAUUUACAUAAUCUUCUCGAUUGCUCAUUAUGUAAUUAGUUAGACAAUUAUCAUAAAUUCACAAACACAAGUUGGCUAUUGGAUUAGAGUUAUCAUCAAUUACAAUUACAUUAAGUACAUAGUCUCCAUGGAAGAUACUUUAUUAAUCACUAUAUUAUUUAUUUACGGUGUCAUAAACAUGAGGGAUCUCGUCCAUCAGUAUACUUAAUCUAUAAUCACAUCAAAAGGAUAUAGAAAAGAAAUUAGAAAAAGUAAAAUAAACAAACAAUUGGA